This 458-nucleotide ribosomal RNA is filed under the name uncultured Alphaproteobacteria bacterium. Its description in RNAcentral is "bacterial SSU rRNA". It matches the Rfam family "Bacterial small subunit ribosomal RNA", at positions 75 to 573 of the family's 1533-position model. The record is from RNAcentral. Lineage: Bacteria; Pseudomonadati; Pseudomonadota; Alphaproteobacteria.
GUCCUUCGGGACCGAGCGGCGGACGGGUUAGUAACGCGUGGGAAUGUACCCUUCUCUAAGGAAUAGCCUCGGGAAACUGAGAGUAAUACCUUAUACGCCCUUCGGGGGAAAGAUUUAUCGGAGAAGGAUCAGCCCGCGUUAGAUUAGAUAGUUGGUGGGGUAAUGGCCUACCAAGUCUACGAUCUAUAGCUGGUUUUAGAGGAUGAUCAGCAACACUGGGACUGAGACACGGCCCAGACUCCUACGGGAGGCAGCAGUGGGGAAUCUUGGACAAUGGGCGCAAGCCUGAUCCAGCCAUGCCGCGUGUGUGAUGAAGGCCUUAGGGUCGUAAAGCACUUUCGCUAGGGAUGAUAAUGACAGUACCUAGUAAAGAAACCCCGGCUAACUCCGUGCCAGCAGCCGCGGUAAUACGGAGGGGGUUAGCGUUGUUCGGAAUUACUGGGCGUAAAGCGUACGUA